CGAUUGCUCCAAGCUCUGGACACUCACUCCAAUCUGUAAGCCCAGCUGUGAGUGGUGAUAUCAUCCCCCGUCCUCUACCUACUACAAACAAAUCAUGAGCAUUAAUAUCCAUUGCCCUUAUUGCAGCUACUGUUUCCUCUCCAUUGUUCACAAUCCUUUCAGUAUAAAACACAGACUCUUCAUUAGCGUUUUGCAUCCUAAAUUCAUUUACAUAUUCUUCAUCCAUUUGCUUCUCCCUUUGAUCUUGUGUUUCAAAUGUUAGUAUUCUAGGGUCAUUAGUAUCUUCAUUUCGUUGCCUCGCUGGUUGUACUGCAUCCUCACCUGCAAUGAAUCGCAUCACUGUUAAGCUUAUCCCAGGAUUCUCAGACAUCCUCCAUGCAUAUGAUAGUGCUUCUCUAUCAUCAGGUCCUCCAAAGAAAGCCACAGCUAUAUGAUGAGAUAGUUGGUUUGUGGCUAAGCGAGUAGAGCCACUGAGACCUCUGUCUACAAGAAUCCCAAUUGAGCAAGGUGAGUUUGCUAAUACAUUUUGGUUGACCAUUCGAAAUGCUGGGUUCGUGGCUUCCAUCCCACCAUCCACUGUUUGUUGUUUAUGGAAGGGAAUUAUUAUAAAAGCAACCCUUUUGUCCUCUGCCAAGUUGCAAAUGUCUUCAUGCAUGGUAGAGUAUGGAGAAAUAGCUGUUAAGGGUUGAACUGAAACACAAACUGCAUGUUGUUCAUAAUUUUCGAAGGCAUUGAUGAUGUGAUCAGAUUGGGCUUGGGUUCUAUUCAGGGCUGGACGACCAGAUUUUCUACUGUUAUGAACUAUUAGCAUCGCAGAUGCACGACCAGUGAGUUCAACUAGGUGGAGCACAUAAACACAUAUAGG
Molecule: long non-coding RNA, 865 nt
Filed under: Manihot esculenta (cassava)
Lineage: Eukaryota; Viridiplantae; Streptophyta; Magnoliopsida; Malpighiales; Euphorbiaceae
Description: long non-coding RNA (MESC_LNC007903)
Source: RNAcentral